UUUAAUUGAAGAGUUUGAUCAUGGCUCAGAUUGAACGCUGGCGGCAGGCCUAACACAUGCAAGUCGAGCGGCAGCACAAGGGAGUUUACUCCUGAGGUGGCGAGCGGCGGACGGGUGAGUAAUGCCUAGGGAUCUGCCCAGUCGAGGGGGAUAACAGUUGGAAACGACUGCUAAUACCGCAUACGCCCUACGGGGGAAAGAGGGGGACCUUCGGGCCUC
This 219-nucleotide ribosomal RNA is filed under the name Shewanella sp. Sh95. Its description in RNAcentral is "partial 16S ribosomal RNA". It matches the Rfam family "Bacterial small subunit ribosomal RNA", at positions 1 to 216 of the family's 1533-position model. The record is from RNAcentral. Lineage: Bacteria; Pseudomonadati; Pseudomonadota; Gammaproteobacteria; Alteromonadales; Shewanellaceae.